UUCAACAGAUAGGGCGCUCAU
RNAcentral lists this microRNA (21 nucleotides) under Monodelphis domestica (gray short-tailed opossum). RNAcentral describes it as "mdo-miR-12406-3p". The record is from miRBase by way of RNAcentral. Lineage: Eukaryota; Metazoa; Chordata; Mammalia; Didelphimorphia; Didelphidae.